CGGAGUGGAAGGGACACGCAGGGACUAUGGCGAACACUCCCUGCAGCAUGUCUCCACGCACACAGGCCCCUGCGGGUCACACUCUCAUGCCCACCACCAACCAAGCACUGUGCCAACACUGCAGAGCUGAGCGGGCACGCUGGGGCUAGAGCACAGCAGGAAGCUGUGACUUCAGAGGUACAAGAAGCUGUGUUCACAAACACCACACUCAAGCUGCAUUUACACACAUUCGUACAUUACUUGGUGGAGAUCUGAAAUCAAAACAACAACAAAAAAAAAGGCUGCCCAUGUAUUCCAGACACUGGGUGAUUACAUGUUAAGGCAACAGAAGUGACCCCUGCUCCCCGCCUCACUGCUCCGUCGGCUUGUCUGCCUAGGAUUAUAAAGUGUAUUUCUGUACAUCACUACACUCCAAGUUCUGCGUGGCCCUCCCGUGGAACUCUCCUGAGACAAGCCCACUAACCACUAAGAGUGCACACCAGUUAUUUUAUUCCACACCGAGGGGUCAGGCUGUAGGGGGGUGGGAAGGAGAUAAAAGUAAGUCAGGGAGAAAGGUCACAUGGCCACAUGAGGCACUUUCAGCAAGUAGAUAGGAGUUGGUGGGGAGUCCAGACCACUGAGGACUGGUCACCAUGCGCCUAGGCAGGCGGCCAAAGGGGCAGGGCGGAAGCCUGAAGCCUCAGCCCCAGAAGGCCUGCUAUUAGCGCCAUCACCAACAUGCAACGUGCCCCAGGCGCUCAGGGGUGCCACAGGCCCCGAGGCCCGAGGUAAGGGCGGGCCCCACUGAGAAGGCCACGCAGUACUCCCAGACAGUGUUUCUCAUGGACGCAGGAAUGGCUUGAUGCCUACCCCAGAGGGCGGUUCUGCCACCGCCAGGACAUAAGCAUGACCCUCCAACUCCACAUGUGGUGACCUCAGAGCUUACUCUUAGACUACCAGGCAGCAGAAAUGCUGUGAGAGCCUUCAACAACAUAAACAGGCUGUUUUAAGAAUCCAAGAGGAAUUUCUCAUCAUCAUGUAAACAUACACCAUAGCUGGACUGUGGUUCCCUGGCUCUGGGACUUCAGAGACUGGCAAACUUAAGAAGAAACUCUGGGGCUUGACAAAGAGCAGCCAGUAUUUUAUCUUCAUCUUACAGCCAAGAGCAUUAAAAAAAAAAAAAAAAAAAUUAUGUGUGUGUAUAUAUAUAUAUUAUCACCUUUGUUACAUAAAAGUACAUUUUAUCACCCAAGUUAGGAAGGACAUUAUCUCAAAAUAAAAUACAAACCUCUAGGUUGAAUAAACUUGACCUCAUAAGUUAUUUAACAUGUGCCCUUGUACUUACUGACAUGCACAGAGCCCUCUGUGCCAAAGGCCUAUGCUAUGGGCCCCCAUGAGCAUCGCUGCCUGGUGGGGGGGGGGGGGGGGGCACAAGGUCAAGCCCGAUCCCCAAGGUCACAGGCCCUUCCAGCACCUCCAUCCCCUCAAAUGCAUAUCCACUGAGAAAGGGACAGGAGUCACGAGGGCAGUUUACAGUCACAGGGAAUGCUCAGUACAAAGUGCUCUCACACACGUUCUCCCGUGUGUCCUCCCAAAAGUCCUGUGGGCAUGUACAGGUGUGAGAGUGCAGCCUCCACACUGCCUGGGGCCUGCCUGGGCCGUGCAGCAGCAUGCAGACAACCAUGGGCAAAGCAUUUCCCUCUAAGGUUGAUUUUCCUUUGCUCACACCUAUGCUUGCUGCAUGUUCCUCUCCUCCUACUUCUACAUGAACCCUUUAUUCAAAAAAAUCAAUGCAAGAAAGAAGGUAAAAAGAAAAAAGGAUGGCACUUAAGCCUGAGAACAGAAAUAUAGUCAACAUUAGAAAACUGCUAAUUGUCCUCUUUUUAAAAUCACCUAAUGGGUGCAUGUGGAAACUUCCCAAAUGUCAAAACAGAACAUCAAAAACCAAGCAUCAAAAAACAAAAAAACAAAAAACAAAAAAAAACAAGCAUCACUGCCUUCAACCCUUUUCUAGAACAAGGCAGGACAUAAAUAAAUAAAUACAUAAAUAACAUAAGUAAUAGGAAAAGGCACAGCUAUGUGUGACAUUGAUGGCUUUGGGAAAUACACUCAAAAUCCACACCCAAGAUGCCAGAGCAGAAUUCUCAGAGGUAUCCCUGCCCACCUGUCCACAGCAGCCAAGGCCUACAGCAGGACUCUGUUUGAGGGGAGAGACGGGACACUCCUGGGACCAGGCUGAGGGGGACACUCUGGCUCGUUCCCACGGGUCUGUCGUGCCCCUCAUUGCGGGGCUCUGGGGCCUGCCAGGCAGCAGCCUCAUCACACCACCACCACCACGUUUCCUUGCUACGUGGGACCUGGGUGCCCCACACCUCAGAAACAUGAUUACCCUAUCCUUGCCAACAGAAAGAAAGGGAGCUUUAGGAAAGUUACUCACAACAAGUAGGAAUGGCCUUAAGCAACGAUGUACACUGUUUCCAGAUUCAUGUUUGGCGGCUAUGAAGUUUCAGACUAGAGGGUGAGCCUCAAAGCUGUCCAGAUUCCGAAAGAAUCAGCAGAGUCUGGUUGAACAAAGCAGCAGACCUGUCCUCUGCAAAGGAAGAGCGGAUGCCCUGGUGUCCUGCUGCUGGCCUAGAGCAGAGCACACUCCAGGGGCAGAGCAGGAGAGGCCCCACCUCCUGACCCUGCACUCCUGACUCACACCACCUCCCGGGCCAGGUCUGGGGGAGACAGCAGUGAGGGUCAGCUCAGUCCAUUCCUUUAAGAGACCCUGGAAAAAUCGUUCAAGACCCCAGAAAUCAGCCCCGCGCUUACUUCCCUGGGCUACGGACCCUAAGACCACGCUGCUGGGCCCUUGCCUCGGCGCAGCCGGGUGGUCGUGCCUACAGGUACGAGGCUUCUGCCCUGGCAGCAUCCCCAAGCACUGCUUUCCAGAAGGUCCAGGACAGAGCCACUGUCUACCCCGGGCAGUGCUGGAGAGGCCCGGUCCAUAACGGGCCUCUGCAGAAAGCACCCAGGGGGGCAGACGCAGAGUGUGCCUGGGGAGAACCUGAGCCAAGAGGGCAGAGGAAAGGGGACCCAGAGUUGGAAGAGCUGAAAGUAAGGUGAACUACCACCCACACUCUCUCAGCCCUACCAAGAAGAUGACCAGCCACUGCUUUCACACCACUGGUGACAGGAGUUCCCUGCCAGUGGCUCAGUCCACCCAUGGGUGGCUCGAACUUCUCCAUGUGGAGACAGAGCCCCACCUCCCCAAAGCUCCCGCCACAGCCUCACUGCGGUCCUGGGCCCACCCCGAGUGCCACAAGGAACACCCCUGAUCCCUUCUCAGCCACGGCACCUGGCUCUGGCUCUAACGGCCCUCACCAGCUACCCACAACCCGCAGCUCACAAUGUCACUCUGACAGGCCCCAAGCUCUGCAUAAGCCCAGCCAACCAGGGCCCCCAGGCCUUUGGCAGCAGCGCACACGCCGAAUCGCAGGCUCCGACAGCCAUCCCACAGUUACACUAUGGCCACAGCUUGUGAUAGGGUCACUGUAGCCACGUGGAGCCUCCAGUGAUUGUCUUCCCCCCGAAUCAUAAGGGACUCUUCUCCCCUCUGUCCCCACGCAUACACUUACAGGUCACAGCCCAGCUUUCUGGCAGAGCCGUCCAUGACACAAGGAGGGGUUUAGAAUUCUAUCCUCGAGCCAACUAAGACAAUGACAGGCACUGCGUGUCUCCUCGGCUAAAAUAUACAGUGCUGUCAGUCAUGAAGUAAACCUGCAUCAUUAAUUCAAUGAUUACAAAUUAGAUCUCUCUUACUAUAGAAAACCUAAACUCAGAUUUGGAAUUUACCCAUUUCUAAACACUUCUGAAGGUGAGAAUCACCACGAUUCCACACAAUGGUCAUCAGAGGCUUCAAACUACCAGAUGUGGUUUCCCAAGAAACGGCGUCACCUGGAGAGCUCUGAGGAGGCAGCCAAUGGCCCACCUCUACAGACACAGCCAGUCCCGAGCUGCACAGCCGGGAUGUGAGUGACCCCUGCCCACAGCCAAACACCUGGGGAUGAUCACUUAGCUCAUCUCACCUACCAGCAGCCCCAAGGAGGCAAGGGAAGACCCCUGACCUCACUGCCCCGUCCUUAGGUUCAAGGAGCAACUACAAAGACAUCAGGUCCAAAGAGGCAAAGAGCAAUCAACCAAAUGCCAGAUGUGUUGUCCACUGGACACUAAGCAACUGGAAGCUUGGAACCAUCCAGAGGGCAAGUGAAUCCCCCCGUCCUGGAGUGUGCAAGGACUAGAAGGCAGCGCCACAGGUGUUUCCUCCGGUUAGAACUGGCAGUGAAUGCUGUUUGGAGCAGUCCUUGGUCCA
This 4333-nucleotide long non-coding RNA is filed under the name Canis lupus familiaris (dog). RNAcentral describes it as "lncRNA (ENSCAFG00000052388.1)". Lineage: Eukaryota; Metazoa; Chordata; Mammalia; Carnivora; Canidae. The record is from RNAcentral.